CAGUCGCCGCGGUAAUACGGAGGGUGCAAGCGUUAAUCGGAAUUACUGGGCGUAAAGCGCACGCAGGCGGUCUGACAAGUCAGAUGUGAAAUCCCCGGGCUUAACCUGGGAACUGCAUUUGAAACUGUCAGGCUGGAGUCUUGUAGAGGGGGGUGGAAUUCCAGGUGUAGCGGUGAAAUGCGUAGAGAUCUGGAGGAAUACCGGUGGCGAAGGCGGCCCCCUGGACAAAGACUGACGCUUAGGUGCGAAAGCGUGGGGAGCAAACAGGAUUAGAUACCCCUGUAGUCCCUGUCUCUUAUAC
RNAcentral lists this ribosomal RNA (301 nucleotides) under uncultured bacterium. Its description in RNAcentral is "partial 16S ribosomal RNA". It matches the Rfam family "Bacterial small subunit ribosomal RNA", at positions 509 to 807 of the family's 1533-position model. The record is from RNAcentral.